RNAcentral lists this ribosomal RNA (1438 nucleotides) under uncultured organism. Its description in RNAcentral is "SSU rRNA". It matches the Rfam family "Bacterial small subunit ribosomal RNA". The record is from RNAcentral.
UAGCUACAGGCUUAACACAUGCAAGUCGAGGGGCAUCAGGAAGAAAGCUUGCUUUCUUUGCUGGCGACCGGCGCACGGGUGAGUAACACGUAUCCAACCUGCCCUUUACUCGGGGAUAGCCUUUCGAAAGAAAGAUUAAUACCCGAUAGCAUAAUGAUUCCGCAUGGUUUCAUUAUUAAAGGAUUCCGGUAAAGGAUGGGGAUGCGUUCCAUUAGGUUGUUGGUGAGGUAACGGCCCACCAAGCCUUCGAUGGAUAGGGGUUCUGAGAGGAAGGUCCCCCACAUUGGAACUGAGACACGGUCCAAACUCCUACGGGAGGCAGCAGUGAGGAAUAUUGGUCAAUGGGCGCUAGCCUGAACCAGCCAAGUAGCGUGAAGGAUGAAGGCUCUAUGGGUCGUAAACUUCUUUUAUAUAAGAAUAAAGUGCAGUAUGUAUACUGUUUUGUAUGUAUUAUAUGAAUAAGGAUCGGCUAACUCCGUGCCAGCAGCCGCGGUAAUACGGAGGAUCCGAGCGUUAUCCGGAUUUAUUGGGUUUAAAGGGAGCGUAGGUGGACUGGUAAGUCAGUUGUGAAAGUUUGCGGCUCAACCGUAAAAUUGCAGUUGAUACUGUCAGUCUUGAGUACAGUAGAGGUGGGCGGAAUUCGUGGUGUAGCGGUGAAAUGCUUAGAUAUCACGAAGAACUCCGAUUGCGAAGGCAGCUCACUGGACUGCAACUGACACUGAUGCUCGAAAGUGUGGGUAUCAAACAGGAUUAGAUACCCUGGUAGUCCACACAGUAAACGAUGAAUACUCGCUGUUUGCGAUAUACAGUAAGCGGCCAAGCGAAAGCAUUAAGUAUUCCACCUGGGGAGUACGCCGGCAACGGUGAAACUCAAAGGAAUUGACGGGGGCCCGCACAAGCGGAGGAACAUGUGGUUUAAUUCGAUGAUACGCGAGGAACCUUACCCGGGCUUAAAUUGCAGUGGAAUGAUGUGGAAACAUGUCAGUGAGCAAUCACCGCUGUGAAGGUGCUGCAUGGUUGUCGUCAGCUCGUGCCGUGAGGUGUCGGCUUAAGUGCCAUAACGAGCGCAACCCUUAUCUUUAGUUACUAACAGGUUAUGCUGAGGACUCUAGAGAGACUGCCGUCGUAAGAUGUGAGGAAGGUGGGGAUGACGUCAAAUCAGCACGGCCCUUACGUCCGGGGCUACACACGUGUUACAAUGGGGGGUACAGAAGGCAGCUAGCGGGUGACCGUAUGCUAAUCCCAAAAUCCUCUCUCAGUUCGGAUCGAAGUCUGCAACCCGACUUCGUGAAGCUGGAUUCGCUAGUAAUCGCGCAUCAGCCACGGCGCGGUGAAUACGUUCCCGGGCCUUGUACACACCGCCCGUCAAGCCAUGGGAGCCGGGGGUACCUGAAGUACGUAACCGCAAGGAUCGUCCUAGGGUAAAACUGGUGACUGG